Molecule: unclassified non-coding RNA, 304 nt
Filed under: uncultured fungus
Lineage: Eukaryota; Fungi
Description: sequence contains 5.8S rRNA gene
Rfam family: 5.8S ribosomal RNA (bases 1-53)
Source: RNAcentral
GAACGCACCUUGCACCCUUUGGUAUUCCGAAGGGUAUGCCUGUUUGAGUGUCAUUAAAUUCUCAACUUCAAAAGAGUUUGUGCUUUUUUGAAGCUUGGACUAUGGAAGCUUGCUGGUAUCACUAUCAGCUCUUCUUAAAUGCAUUAGCGGAACCGUGAAGGACCAGCUUUGGUUUGAUAAUCCUAUCUAUGCCGUCGCUGUGGACUUGUGUGUUCAGCUUCUAACUGUCUUCGGACUGUCUCCUAUGAGGCAUACAAUUUUAAGCUUGACCUCAAAUCAGGUAGGACUACCCGCUGAACUUAAG